Molecule: ribosomal RNA, 462 nt
Filed under: uncultured bacterium
Lineage: Bacteria
Description: bacterial SSU rRNA
Rfam family: Bacterial small subunit ribosomal RNA
Source: RNAcentral
UUACGGGAGGCAGCAGUCGAGAAUUUUUCACAAUGGGCGCAAGCCUGAUGGAGCGACGCCGCGUGGGGGAUGAAGGGUUUCGAUCCGUAAACCCCUGUCAUUUGCGAACAAACCUUAUGCAAUAACACUGCAUGAGUUGAUUGUAGUGAAAGAGGAAGGGACGGCUAACUCUGUGCCAGCAGCCGCGGUAAUACAGAGGUCCCGAGCGUUGUUCGGAUUCACUGGGCGUAAAGGGUGCGUAGGUGGCCAGGUAAGUUUGAUGUGAAAGCUCGGAGCUUAACUCCGAAAUGGCAUUGAAUACUCUCUGGCUUGAGGGUUGGAGGGGAGACUGGAAUUCUCGGUGUAGCAGUGAAAUGCGUAGAUAUCGAGAGGAACACCAGUGGCGAAGGCGAGUCUCUGGACAACACCUGACACUGAGGCACGAAAGCUAGGGGAGCAAACAGGAUUAGAUACCCUGGUAGC